RNAcentral lists this ribosomal RNA (253 nucleotides) under uncultured bacterium. Its description in RNAcentral is "partial 16S ribosomal RNA". It matches the Rfam family "Bacterial small subunit ribosomal RNA", at positions 524 to 776 of the family's 1533-position model. The record is from RNAcentral.
UACGAAGGGUGCAAGCGUUACUCGGAAUUACUGGGCGUAAAGCGUGCGUAGGUGGUUCGUUAAGUCUGAUGUGAAAGCCCUGGGCUCAACCUGGGAAUGGCAUUGGAUACUGGCGGACUGGAGUGCGGUAGAGGAUGGCGGAAUUCCCGGUGUAGCAGUGAAAUGCGUAGAGAUCGGGAGGAACACCGAUGGCGAAGGCAGCCUCCUGGGCCAACACUGACGCUCAUGCACGAAAGCGUGGGGAGCAAACAGG